RNAcentral lists this long non-coding RNA (1293 nucleotides) under Monodelphis domestica (gray short-tailed opossum). RNAcentral describes it as "lncRNA (ENSMODG00000044758.1)". Lineage: Eukaryota; Metazoa; Chordata; Mammalia; Didelphimorphia; Didelphidae. The record is from RNAcentral.
AAAAUGAAUCAACCUUCUUCUGAUUUAGUACUGGAGAAAAUAAAGGAAAGAUUAAGUAUAACAACUGCCCUGUGUGGACAGUUACUGUCUAUCUUUCUAUUUGCUGGGAAAAUAUAAGUAUUACAGAACUGAGACCACCAGAUAGGACAAGAGAAAGAACUUUGAGAAGGCGGUCUUUCCAGAUGAUAUUCCUGAAGGAGUUAUUUCAGAAGAAUGGAAAUCUACUGCAAUUCCUAUGGUUAUUGCAUAAUUCCAAGCACGUGUGCCAGGCUACAGAUUAUUUAGAAUCCUAAAGGCCAUCUUUUACUUCUGGCUCCAUUUCUCACCCCAAAAUAAUACAUGGGGACAGGUCCCUAGCACACCAAGACAGAGCAGAAUAUAUGUAGGUGCCCUUGUUAGAAAAGUCGGCACCAAAAAAUACCUUAUCUAGCAAAAAGAGGGGAAAAGGAAGAAUCUGCGGUGCCCCAUUUGGAGGUCUUUGUUGAAUAAGAAAUGAGAAACCAGGCUGCAGUUUUCAUUAUGCACGUGUGAAAGGUUGAGUUUCCUCUUUGCCUGCAUUGUAUUUAUUGUUGCUAGCAACCGAGAAGCACCCUAGUGAUUGUUGCUAGGCCUUCAAUGCCUCUGUUUGCCUGGGAACUGAGUUAGUGCCAGAAACACUAGAGAUAAAAAUCAUGGCAAAGCACCCAGUGUCAGUUUUCCCCAAUGGCUCCGUUAUAAACUGAUCAUUCCUGGGUUAAAUGAAAAUCAGUUUAAAAUGGAGGGUCUCAGCAAACAAUUCAUCUAUAGCUUCCAUUAUGUGACCAGCUAGCAAAGUUCUCGAAAUAUGAAACAGAGGAAAUGCCUGAGAUUGGAUUCAUUCAACAAGAUCCGUAUACUGGCAUUACUGGUUCCAAAUGGAUUAGAGACAGGCACUGUUAUAAGUACAGACUGAUUCAAGGCUAGCAGUGGGGGUUGGUUACUGAGUAAUUCUCCAUUUUUUUUUAAACCCUUACCUUCCAUCUUGGAAUCAAUACUGUGUAUUGGCUUCAAGGCAGAAGAGUGGUCAGAGCUAGGCAAUGGGGGUCAAGUGACUUGCCCAGGGACACAGAGCUGGGAAGUGUCUGAGGCCAGAUUUGAACCCAGGACCUCCCAUCUCUAGGACUGGCUCUCAGCUGCCCCCUAAUUCUCCAUUUUGACACAGGUUAGUUGGUAUAGAUCAAAACUUGCCAUUUCUUUGACAUCUUCCUAAUAGUCACAGCAAAUCUCUUUGUGAAAUCUACAGCCAUGCCUUCAGGUAGGGAGACAAAAGAUCUU